RNAcentral lists this long non-coding RNA (579 nucleotides) under Oryza brachyantha (malo sina). Its description in RNAcentral is "long non-coding RNA (OBRA_LNC000309)". The record is from RNAcentral. Lineage: Eukaryota; Viridiplantae; Streptophyta; Magnoliopsida; Poales; Poaceae.
UCCGUUUCUUGCAUAAGUUAAAUUGCUUGAUAUCUUACACGCAAAAUUUGUGAUUUGUAAUUGGUCCUCCGCUGUGUCACGACCUUCUUUAUUUGAUAUGUCCAAAUCUGGCAAAGUACUCGAAAUGCUGAAGAAUAUGGUAAGUCAAGAACAUUGUGUGUUACUGUGCAAUUCUAUUUAUGCUCUAUUGAUUGACAUGGUUAGCAAUUCAGCACAGAAUACAUGGCCCAAUGAACAUUGUAUGUGAUGACACGACAUUAGCUGUACCAGAUUAAAUUCUUUCUAAAUUUCGCCUAAUUGUGAUUUGCCAGUGUAAUGACACUUAUUUUCUAUGGCAUCAUAGUUGGGUGAGGUAAAAGGAUAGUAAUUAUGAUAAAAUGAGAUGGCAUUAGCUGCACGAGAUUAAGUUCUUGCCUGUUUCUUCUUUCUGCCAAAAAUGCAAAGCUUUUGAUGCUGAUCUAAUGGCGGCGAUGUUCGCAGAUAAAUCCCAGGUGGUGGAGGCCUCGACGCGCACCGAUCGAUCGAGUUCACGGGAGGCGGCAGCGAUGUCCGGCGCCAAUGCGAGCUCGCCGGCGGCCN